UGCCAGCAGCCGCGGUAAUACGGAGGGUGCAAGCAUUGAUCGGAUUUACUGGGCGUAAAGGGCGCGUAGGCGGCUUGGCAAGUCAGAUGUGAAAUUCCGAGGCUCAACCUCGGAGCUGCAUUUGAAACUGCCAAGCUAGAGUACAGUUAGGGAAAACGGAAUUCCACGUGUAGCGGUGAAAUGCGUAGAUAUGUGGAAGAACACCGGUGGUGAAGACGGUUUUCUGGGCUGUUACUGACGCUGAGGCGCGAAAGCAUGGGGAUCAAACAGGAUUAGAUA
This 279-nucleotide ribosomal RNA is filed under the name uncultured bacterium. RNAcentral describes it as "partial 16S ribosomal RNA". It matches the Rfam family "Bacterial small subunit ribosomal RNA", at positions 506 to 784 of the family's 1533-position model. The record is from RNAcentral.